Molecule: transfer RNA, 73 nt
Filed under: Phytophthora infestans T30-4
Lineage: Eukaryota; Oomycota; Peronosporomycetes; Peronosporales; Peronosporaceae
Rfam family: tRNA
About the family: Transfer RNA (tRNA) molecules are approximately 80 nucleotides in length. Their secondary structure includes four short double-helical elements and three loops (D, anti-codon, and T loops).
Source: Rfam by way of RNAcentral
UCCCCUAAAGGCCAGGCGGUUAGGAUAGCUGGCUCUCACCCAGCAAACCCGGGUUCGAGUCCCGGUGUGGGAA